CUGCUCUGCUCAGGCACUCAUACACUCAGCCCUUCAACCAAGAUUUACCAAGCACCUACUGAGUCGUAGAGGUGCACAUCAGGCAGAGAGCUGGUUGCAGGAGGCCCAAGUGGACUUGACUUCUCUGGACUCACACUGCAAUGGGGUAUGUUAACCUUCAAUAGGUAGUGGCAUUGCUGUGUGAAAGGAUGGAAGCCAUAAGACUGCUACCAAGAAGGGGGGCAGCAUAAAAAAAGGCAGAAAUCUGGAAGUGAAACGUGGGCCCCUGAGAGUAUGUGCUGCCGGCUACAAACCAGAGUCAAAUUGAGGAAUGAAUCCUACCUUCAGCUUAUUUGUAGUCCAGGGAUGAUUGACAGACUGUGUACCCAACCCCAACCACUUCUAGAGCUCAGUGUG
Long non-coding RNA from Ochotona curzoniae (black-lipped pika), 396 nucleotides. RefSeq lists it as uncharacterized. NCBI's taxonomy places the organism in Eukaryota, Metazoa, Chordata, Mammalia, Lagomorpha, Ochotonidae. The record is from RefSeq and is a predicted model, not a curated record. The transcript has 3 exons.